RNAcentral lists this transfer RNA (78 nucleotides) under Bryobacterales bacterium. Its description in RNAcentral is "tRNA-Ile". It matches the Rfam family "tRNA". From Rfam's summary of the family: Transfer RNA (tRNA) molecules are approximately 80 nucleotides in length. Their secondary structure includes four short double-helical elements and three loops (D, anti-codon, and T loops). Lineage: Bacteria; Pseudomonadati; Acidobacteriota; Terriglobia; Bryobacterales. The record is from RNAcentral.
GCCGGCGUAGCUCAGUUGGUUAGAGCGACGGUCUCAUAAUCCGUAGGUUCGUAGGUUCGAGUCCUACCGCCGGCACCA